AUACCAGAGCUCAGUGACAUGCAAGCUUAAAGCAAUAUGGAAUUGCUAUACAUUAGAAAGCAGUUGGCUAAAGUCAGCAAUACAAUGAAUGGCAGUCAAUUUCCCCCAACAUGUCUUGAGUUGGAAGGCUGGAGAGGGAGCAGUAGCCAGAGCACCAGUACCUGAGGAAGCACCAGCAGCUGGAACUGAAGAGCCAGAGGGGACAACGGCAACUGGAACUGAAGAGCCAGGAGAAACUGGAGCAGCUGGAGCAUUAGGAGAAAUAAUGGCAAUUCAUGCUAGAGAUAGCCAGGUUCAAGGUCGAUGUACGCUUG
This 314-nucleotide long non-coding RNA is filed under the name Mus pahari (shrew mouse). RNAcentral's name for it is "predicted gene 14764 (MGP_PahariEiJ_G0004016.1)". The record is from RNAcentral. Lineage: Eukaryota; Metazoa; Chordata; Mammalia; Rodentia; Muridae.